AGAGUUUGAUCCUGGCUCAGAUUGAACGCUGGCGGCAGGCUUAACACAUGCAAGUCGAGCGGGGAAAGGUAGCUUGCUACCUGACCUAGCGGCGGACGGGGNNNNNNNNNNNNNNNNNNNNNNNNNNNNNNNNGGACAACAUCUCGAAAGGGAUGCUAAUACCGCAUACGUCCUACGGGGGAAAGCAGGGGAUCUUCGGACCUUGCGCUAAUAGAUGAGCCUAAGUCGGAUUAGCUAGUUGGUGGGGUAAAGGCCUACCAAGGCGACGAUCUGUAGCCGGUCUGAGAUGAUGUCCGGCCGCGAUGGGACUGAGAUACGGCCCAUACUCCUACGGGAGGCAGCAGUGGGGAAUCUUCCACAAUGGACGAAAGUCUGACGGAGCAACGCCGCGUGUAUGAUGAAGGUCUUCGGAUUGUAAAGUACUGUCUUUGGGGAAGAAUGAUUUGACGGUACCACUAAAGGAAGCCCCGGCUAACUACGUGCCAGCAGCCGCGGUAAUACGUAGGGGGCAAGCGUUGUCCGGAAUUAUUGGGCGUAAAGGGCGCGUAGGCGGAUAAUUAAGUCCGGUGUGAAAGAUCAGGGCUCAACCCUGAGAGUGCAUCGGAAACUGGUUAUCUUGAGGACAGGAGAGGAAAGUGGAAUUCCUAGUGUAGCGGUGAAAUGCGUAGAUAUUAGGAGGAACACCAGUGGCGAAGGCGACUUCCUGGCUUGUAACUGACACUGAGGCGCGAAAGCGUGGGGAUCAAACAGGAUUAGAUACCCUGGUAGUCCACGCCGUAAACGAUGAGUGCUAGGUGUAGAGGGUAUCGACCUUCGGUGCCAAAGCUAACGCAAUAAGCACUCCGCCUGGGGAGUACGGUCGCAAGACUGAAACUCAAAGGAAUUGACGGGGGCCCGCACAAGCGGUGGAGUAUGUGGUUUAAUUCGACGCAACGCGAAGAACCUUACCAAGGCUUGACAUCUACAGAAUCCCUAGGAAACUAGGGAGUGACCGAAGGAGCUUGGAGACAGGUGCUGCAUGGCUGUCGUCAGCUCGUGUCGUGAGAUGUUGGGUUAAGUCCCGCAACGAGCGCAACCCCUAUCCUUAGUUGCCAUCAUUAAGUUGGGCACUCUAAGGAGACUGCCGGUGACAAACCGGAGGAAGGUGGGGAUGACGUCAAAUCAUCAUGCCCCUUAUGUCUUGGGCUACACACGUACUACAAUGGCCUGAACAGAGGGAAGCGAAACUGCGAAGUUAAGCGAACCCCUUAAAACAGGUCCCAGUUCGGAUUGUAGGCUGCAACUCGCCUACAUGAAGUUGGAAUCGCUAGUAAUCGCAGGUCAGCAUACUGCGGUGAAUACGUUCCCGGGCCUUGUACACACCGCCCGUCACACCACGAAAGUCUGCAACACCCGAAGCCGGUGAGGUAACCCGUAAGGGAGCUAGCCGUCGAAGGUGGGGCCGAUGAUUGGGGUGAAGUCGUAACAAGGUAACCU
RNAcentral lists this ribosomal RNA (1476 nucleotides) under uncultured bacterium. RNAcentral's name for it is "partial 16S ribosomal RNA". It matches the Rfam family "Bacterial small subunit ribosomal RNA". The record is from RNAcentral.